RNAcentral lists this ribosomal RNA (354 nucleotides) under Clostridioides difficile. RNAcentral describes it as "bacterial SSU rRNA". It matches the Rfam family "Bacterial small subunit ribosomal RNA", at positions 182 to 555 of the family's 1533-position model. The record is from RNAcentral. Lineage: Bacteria; Bacillati; Bacillota; Clostridia; Peptostreptococcales; Peptostreptococcaceae.
UGAGAGGCAUCUCUUGAAUAUCAAAGGUGAGCCAGUACAGGAUGGACCCGCGUCUGAUUAGCUAGUUGGUAAGGUAACGGCUUACCAAGGCGACGAUCAGUAGCCGACCUGAGAGGGUGAUCGGCCACAUUGGAACUGAGACACGGUCCAAACUCCUACGGGAGGCAGCAGUGGGGAAUAUUGCACAAUGGGCGAAAGCCUGAUGCAGCAACGCCGCGUGAGUGAUGAAGGCCUUCGGGUCGUAAAACUCUGUCCUCAAGGAAGAUAAUGACGGUACUUGAGGAGGAAGCCCCGGCUAACUACGUGCCAGCAGCCGCGGUAAUACGUAGGGGGCUAGCGUUAUCCGGAUUUACU